Molecule: long non-coding RNA, 454 nt
Filed under: Gallus gallus (chicken)
Lineage: Eukaryota; Metazoa; Chordata; Aves; Galliformes; Phasianidae
Source: RNAcentral
CCUCAACGAGAUUUGCCCUGCAAACAAGUCUCAAGACCAAUUCCCACCUCUUUCACUAAGUUCUGCAGGAAUUCUCCCAUUGUAACGAGCCUUUGACCUAACCUCCAUUUCUUCUAAUACUGCCUGACAUCUUCCCAUCAUAUGUGAACAGUGUGUGUCUUCAGUGAAAGGCAAACUGACUCUGAUGCUCUGGGCCUAAAGAAAAGCAACGUGGAGGAAGAAAGAAAGAGAAAUCUCGACCUCGCUGGUCCUUCCCAGCAAUCUGUUGCUCCAGCAACUGAAAAAUCAAACAAUGAUGUCAAGAAGAUGCAGCCAGCCACGCUAAACCCGAUGUCCAGUUGCUGGAGCAACUCGUUGUUAAAGUAAGCGAUGCAACUGUUUGUUUCUUGGCAGUUUGGAAAAAAAAAACCAAAUAAUAAAGGAAAUAAGUUAGGGCAGAGGACAUGUACCUGGG